Molecule: long non-coding RNA, 2648 nt
Filed under: Homo sapiens (human)
Lineage: Eukaryota; Metazoa; Chordata; Mammalia; Primates; Hominidae
Description: HSALNT0328412
Source: RNAcentral
UUUGCCAUCUAUAAUGAGAGCAUAUCAUGGGCAAGGGGAUGGUUUUGGAGUGAAACUGAUCUCAGUUUAAUUUCAGUUCUGUUUCUUAUUCCGUGUAUGACUUUGGACAAGGUUAUUUGACUUUCCUGAGUUUCACAUUUGUCAUCUGUAAAGUGGUAAUAAUAAUAACACCUGAAUCUCAAAUUUGUUGUAAGGAUUAGAUCAGGUAGUGUGUGUAAAGGACUUACUACAGUUUUUCGCAUAUAGUGACUUCUCAAUAAAUGGUAAUUGUUAUCAUUAUCAUGACUUUUAUUGCAGUAGCCACACAAGAGAAAAAAGCAUGAUACUGCCUUCUGAUCCCCAAGGGAUUCCUCCUUCAAAGAUAAAGUAUACUACUGGGAUCCUUAUUCAAUCUACAGAACACAGAAAAUUAUUUGAGGAACUAUUUUCUCAUUUCUCUCAAGAAUGGUAGCUAACCAGUGCCAUCCUUUUUACAGGAAAGAUGUUAAUUCAUGAUUUACAAAUAGUAUUUUAGGACGUUAAUUCUCUCCCCUUGAAAACGGCAGAGUGACCCCCAACACUCAGUGGAAUAAUGGGCUGAAAAUAUAAUUUUAGAAUCAGUAAUAAAGUUUUCAAGACACUUAGAGACAUCUUGGGUUAGCACAAAAUAAACGAGAAGGUUUUCUUCGCAUGUGUCUUUUAACUGUGUUGUGCUUCUAAGGUAGAGAAGACAAUUCUGUGACCAAUGGAUCAGAGAUCAGAAGAGCGAUUCAACAACUCACUCUAGGGAUAACUUAGGGCAGUCCCUUAUGCACCAGCAGCUUCUGUGUAUUUAUAAUGAGGAUAACACUCACUCUGUUGAUCUCACUCAGCCUUGGGCAUUUUAAAUUACAUCAUAUAUUUGGAAGUGCCUUACAAUUUGUAAAGUGCUGUACAAAUCUUAGUGAUUAUGAAGAUGAUUAUUCUGCUUUCCUGCCAUCCGGCUUCCUCCACCAGAUGCCCCUAAUGAGCCCAGAUCUCUACCAGCAACUCAACUGGUUCUGAAAUGAGGACACAUGUAGCUUUGGUUGAAAUAAUCAACUUUUGUUUAUUCUUUUGCUGCUUUCAUUCUUGUGAAGCUGGGCUUUCCUUGGCAUUUUCAUUGACGAUUAAAGAUCCCAGGUACUAUUUCUUUCUAACUGCUCUUCUGAAAAAUGUUAAAAACUCAUGGCAUCUGUCAGCUCCAUCAGGCCACUUACUGGGUUCCCAAAUCCCAGGGAAUUGCCCAGAAGGCCUGGAUGAGUGUUUUAUUGCACUGGAUGGAGUUAUCUUCUGAUUUGUUUUUGCAGGUCAGAAGCAUUAACAAUGAAUUUAGCUUGCUUUUUUCUCUGUCUUUCCUUCUCUCUCCCUCUCUCUCUCUCUCUCUCUCUCUCUCUCUCUCUCUCUCUCUCUCUCUCCUUGUGACAUGGCUAUAGAACUGAAUAUCCAUUUGCUACUAGGUUUCCUUUCUGGGCGUUUGUGUACACUUUUCAGAGGAGCAGAAAUCAAGGCAGAUUCGGUGCCAGUUAUUUUAAUGGAGAAAAAGAUUGACAAACCAUCAGUCUUUCUCACUCGCUCACUGCAAGAAAAGAUGUGACAUGACCUGCAAUAGCAUUUCAGACCAUCUGACUUAAGACUUGAGUUAGUUAGGUUUUAUCUCCUCCAAGAAAAAUAUUUGACCCUUCAUUUCCAGCCAAGCUCUUCUAUGCUCUAACUAUCAUGCCAUUUCCUGCUUCUUGAUCCUGGUUCUUCACUGGGUAUAACUUACCUUCCCUUUCUCAUUGUGGAAAAGCGAAGCAAAACAAGAAAUCAUCAGCAACAGCUAUGUGCUUUACAGGGCUUGCCUAAGGAGGCUACCUGUAAGGAGAAGAAGCUGAGUUUCAUUUUGCUACUGAGAAACACACAAAGGAUUGCCUUUAACUUCCUAAGCAUUGCAACUGAAAGCAGAAGAAAUUGCCAGAUCCCUGCUGAUUUAUGAAAUGCAUUUCAAAGCCACAGAACUACCAUUUUAGGCAUUGCAGCACAAUUUAAUUGGCAUUAUUUUUCUUACUGGUCCAGAAAAUAAUGGUGUGAUUUACAAAUGUUGAUGUCUUCAAUUUGAUCAAACACUGUAUUUAAAAUUGUAUACCUCUUCCUGCUGAUCUACUUUAUCCUGCUCUACUGCACUAUAUGAUUCACUAAUUAACUCUAAAUUUACCAUCAGUCUCCUUCAGCUGGAAGAUGAGCUCCUUGAAGGCAAGCAUCUUUGUUUAUUCAUCGUAGGGUCUAGAUAAACCAAUGUUUAAUACAUAAUUGUUGAAUGAAUUAAUGACUGAAGGAAUUGGAUCGUAACCCCUACUUGAAUGUAAUUUUACACUUACCCUUGUGACCUUGAUAGAACUAAUAGUCCUGCCUUUGUCAGGCUGGCAGCUUUAUGUCAAAUCUACAUUUUGGGUGUGUAGGAAGACUGGCCAAGGGACAAUAUCAAAGGCUAGUACCGCAAGCCCUAAAGCAAUAGUGAAGAGUGACAUAGUUUCUAGUGAUGAGUCUGUAUGUAUAGGAGGGAAGUGGGCAUUGGGAUGAGGAAGGAAUCAAGGAUUAUUCUCUUAUAGCCAUGGAUAUAUUCAAAUGUGUGGAAUGAAUGGAUGAGUAAAUGCAACAUUUGACAAUUU